CCAGACUCCUACGGGAGGCAGCAGUGGGGAAUAUUGCACAAUGGGGGAAACCCUGAUGCAGCAACGCCGCGUGAAGGAAGACGGUUUUCGGAUUGUAAACUUCUGUUCUUAGUGAAGAAGAAUGACGGUAGCUAAGGAGCAAGCCACGGCUAACUACGUGCCAGCAGCCGCGGUAAUACGUAGGGGGCGAGCGUUAUCCGGAUUUACUGGGUGUAAAGGGAGCGUAGACGGCGUCGCAAGUCUGAAGUGAAAGCCCGUGGCUCAACCGCGGAACCGCUUUGGAAACUGCGAGGCUGGAGUGCUGGAGAGGUAAGCGGAAUUCCUGGUGUAGCGGUGAAAUGCGUAGAUAUCAGGAGGAACACCGGUGGCGAAGGCGGCUUACCGGACAGUGACUGACGUUGAGGCUCGAAAGCGUGGGGAGCGAACAGGAUUAGAUACCCCAGUAGC
Molecule: ribosomal RNA, 447 nt
Filed under: uncultured bacterium
Lineage: Bacteria
Description: bacterial SSU rRNA
Rfam family: Bacterial small subunit ribosomal RNA
Source: RNAcentral